Molecule: ribosomal RNA, 197 nt
Filed under: uncultured Massilia sp.
Lineage: Bacteria; Pseudomonadati; Pseudomonadota; Betaproteobacteria; Burkholderiales; Oxalobacteraceae
Description: partial 16S ribosomal RNA
Rfam family: Bacterial small subunit ribosomal RNA
Source: RNAcentral
ACUCCUACGGGAGGCAGCAGUGGGGAAUUUUGGACAAUGGGCGCAAGCCUGAUCCAGCAAUGCCGCGUGAGUGAAGAAGGCCUUCGGGUUGUAAAGCUCUUUUGUCAGGGAAGAAACGGCAGUGGCUAAUAUCCAUUGCUAAUGACGGUACCUGAAGAAUAAGCACCGGCUAACUACGUGCCAGCAGCCGCGGUAAU